UAUGUUUUAUCGCAGAGGUUGGUAUAAAACCAGCCGAAACCGGUCAAAACUGGUCGAAAAUAGCCAGACCGAGGCAAACUGCUGCCGCGAGCGACAGUACCAUCGCUGGAGCACGGCGAUGCUAUUGUGUUGGAACCCCAAAAUUGGCCGAAAAAGGAUUUUUAACACCAAUUUUUAGUUUUUGAUGUAUUUUUAGGUACGUGAAGCGUGUUUUAAUCUCCGCAGGAAAAUUCAAAAAAAUUCGGGGAUCACCAAUAGGCAUAGUGGAAAGUUCAGUGUUUUGGACACCUAUUCGGGUAAGAAUCA
RNAcentral lists this long non-coding RNA (306 nucleotides) under Carica papaya (papaya). RNAcentral's name for it is "long non-coding RNA (CPAP_LNC009414)". Lineage: Eukaryota; Viridiplantae; Streptophyta; Magnoliopsida; Brassicales; Caricaceae. The record is from RNAcentral.